This 24-nucleotide microRNA is filed under the name Zea mays. RNAcentral's name for it is "microRNA miR-3115". Lineage: Eukaryota; Viridiplantae; Streptophyta; Magnoliopsida; Poales; Poaceae. The record is from RNAcentral.
AAGUAUAAGGACUAGAAUGUGCGU